RNAcentral lists this ribosomal RNA (520 nucleotides) under uncultured Glomus. RNAcentral describes it as "SSU rRNA". It matches the Rfam family "Eukaryotic small subunit ribosomal RNA", at positions 569 to 1091 of the family's 1831-position model. The record is from RNAcentral. Lineage: Eukaryota; Fungi; Glomeromycota; Glomeromycetes; Glomerales; Glomeraceae.
AGCAGCCGCGGUAAUUCCAGCUCCAAUAGCGUAUAUUAAAGUUGUUGCAGUUAAAAAGCUCGUAGUUGAAUUUCGGGAUCAAUAUGUUUGGUCGUGCCUCGGUACGUACUAGCUUAUUGGUUUCUCCUUUCUGAAGAACCAUGAUGUCAUUCAUUUGGUGUCGUGGGGAAUCAGGACUGUUACUUUGAAAAAAUUAGAGUGUUUAAAGCAGGCUCACGCUUGAAUACAUUAGCAUGGAAUAAUGAAAUAGGACGUUUGAUUCUAUUUUGUUGGUUUCUAGGAUCGACGUAAUGAUUAAUAGGGAUAGUUGGGGGCAUUAGUAUUCAAUUGUCAGAGGUGAAAUUCUUGGAUUUAUUGAAGACUAACUACUGCGAAAGCAUUUGCCAAGGAUGUUUUCAUUAAUCAAGAACGAAAGUUAGGGGAUCGAAGACGAUCAGAUACCGUCGUAGUCUUAACCAUAAACUAUGCCGACUAGGGAUCGGAUGAUGUUAAUUUUUUAAUGACUCAUUCGGCGCCUUAA